GGCAAGAUGGCCGAGUUGGUUAUGGCGUGAGGUUAAGGUCACAAUCUUAGCAUCUAAUUCCUCAUGGAGCAAUCCGCGUGGGUUCAAGUCCCACUCUUGUCA
RNAcentral lists this transfer RNA (102 nucleotides) under Hypoxylon sp. CI-4A. It matches the Rfam family "tRNA". Rfam says of the family: Transfer RNA (tRNA) molecules are approximately 80 nucleotides in length. Their secondary structure includes four short double-helical elements and three loops (D, anti-codon, and T loops). Lineage: Eukaryota; Fungi; Ascomycota; Sordariomycetes; Xylariales; Hypoxylaceae. The record is from Rfam by way of RNAcentral.